This 1540-nucleotide ribosomal RNA is filed under the name Staphylococcus aureus. Its description in RNAcentral is "16S ribosomal RNA". It matches the Rfam family "Bacterial small subunit ribosomal RNA". The record is from RNAcentral. Lineage: Bacteria; Bacillati; Bacillota; Bacilli; Caryophanales; Staphylococcaceae. RNAcentral also lists the same sequence under 1 other name.
AGAGUUUGAUCCUGGCUCAGGAUGAACGCUGGCGGCGUGCCUAAUACAUGCAAGUCGAGCGAACGGACGAGAAGCUUGCUUCUCUGAUGUUAGCGGCGGACGGGUGAGUAACACGUGGAUAACCUACCUAUAAGACUGGGAUAACUUCGGGAAACCGGAGCUAAUACCGGAUAAUAUUUUGAACCGCAUGGUUCAAAAGUGAAAGACGGUCUUGCUGUCACUUAUAGAUGGAUCCGCGCUGCAUUAGCUAGUUGGUAAGGUAACGGCUUACCAAGGCAACGAUGCAUAGCCGACCUGAGAGGGUGAUCGGCCACACUGGAACUGAGACACGGUCCAGACUCCUACGGGAGGCAGCAGUAGGGAAUCUUCCGCAAUGGGCGAAAGCCUGACGGAGCAACGCCGCGUGAGUGAUGAAGGUCUUCGGAUCGUAAAACUCUGUUAUUAGGGAAGAACAUAUGUGUAAGUAACUGUGCACAUCUUGACGGUACCUAAUCAGAAAGCCACGGCUAACUACGUGCCAGCAGCCGCGGUAAUACGUAGGUGGCAAGCGUUAUCCGGAAUUAUUGGGCGUAAAGCGCGCGUAGGCGGUUUUUUAAGUCUGAUGUGAAAGCCCACGGCUCAACCGUGGAGGGUCAUUGGAAACUGGAAAACUUGAGUGCAGAAGAGGAAAGUGGAAUUCCAUGUGUAGCGGUGAAAUGCGCAGAGAUAUGGAGGAACACCAGUGGCGAAGGCGACUUUCUGGUCUGUAACUGACGCUGAUGUGCGAAAGCGUGGGGAUCAAACAGGAUUAGAUACCCUGGUAGUCCACGCCGUAAACGAUGAGUGCUAAGUGUUAGGGGGUUUCCGCCCCUUAGUGCUGCAGCUAACGCAUUAAGCACUCCGCCUGGGGAGUACGACCGCAAGGUUGAAACUCAAAGGAAUUGACGGGGACCCGCACAAGCGGUGGAGCAUGUGGUUUAAUUCGAAGCAACGCGAAGAACCUUACCAAAUCUUGACAUCCUUUGACAACUCUAGAGAUAGAGCCUUCCCCUUCGGGGGACAAAGUGACAGGUGGUGCAUGGUUGUCGUCAGCUCGUGUCGUGAGAUGUUGGGUUAAGUCCCGCAACGAGCGCAACCCUUAAGCUUAGUUGCCAUCAUUAAGUUGGGCACUCUAAGUUGACUGCCGGUGACAAACCGGAGGAAGGUGGGGAUGACGUCAAAUCAUCAUGCCCCUUAUGAUUUGGGCUACACACGUGCUACAAUGGACAAUACAAAGGGCAGCGAAACCGCGAGGUCAAGCAAAUCCCAUAAAGUUGUUCUCAGUUCGGAUUGUAGUCUGCAACUCGACUACAUGAAGCUGGAAUCGCUAGUAAUCGUAGAUCAGCAUGCUACGGUGAAUACGUUCCCGGGUCUUGUACACACCGCCCGUCACACCACGAGAGUUUGUAACACCCGAAGCCGGUGGAGUAACCUUUUAGGAGCUAGCCGUCGAAGGUGGGACAAAUGAUUGGGGUGAAGUCGUAACAAGGUAGUCGUAUCGGAAGGUGCGGCUGGAUCACCU